Molecule: long non-coding RNA, 377 nt
Filed under: Mytilus galloprovincialis (Mediterranean mussel)
Lineage: Eukaryota; Metazoa; Mollusca; Bivalvia; Mytilida; Mytilidae
Source: RNAcentral
GACUGCAAAACUAUUGUUAUGGCUAAUCAUUUAUCAUUGAUUCUAAUUUUGUAGUGUGUUUAAUGGCUGCAUCAUCUCAAAGCUGUGGUGUUUGUGACCUCCGUCACAUCACAAAACCAUGCAUAGUCUGGUGUACAGAAUGUGACGAGGGACUAUGUUCAGAAUGCAAGGAACAUCAUAGUUUGUCUAAGUCAUCGAGAAGCCACAGUGUGAUACCUAUUGCCGAAUACCAGAAACUGACAGUGGAUGUACUGAAAAUUACUCAGUAUUGUACCAGUCACGAUAAAAAAUAUCAAUUAUAUUGCCAGAAGCAUGAAUGUCCCUGCUGCAGCACAUGUAUCGUGGAAUGUCACAAAGAGUGCCGGGAAAUUGUCGAG